This 259-nucleotide ribosomal RNA is filed under the name Listeria monocytogenes. RNAcentral's name for it is "partial 16S ribosomal RNA". It matches the Rfam family "Bacterial small subunit ribosomal RNA", at positions 56 to 303 of the family's 1533-position model. Lineage: Bacteria; Bacillati; Bacillota; Bacilli; Caryophanales; Listeriaceae. The record is from RNAcentral.
UGCAAGUCGAACGAACGGAGGAAGAGCUUGCUCUUCCAAAGUUAGUGGCGGACGGGUGAGUAACACGUGGGCAACCUGCCUGUAAGUUGGGGAUAACUCCGGGAAACCGGGGCUAAUACCGAAUGAUAGAAUGUGGCGCAUGCCACGCUUUUGAAAGAUGGUUUCGGCUAUCGCUUACAGAUGGGCCCGCGGUGCAUUAGCUAGUUGGUAGGGUAAUGGCCUACCAAGGCAACGAUGCAUAGCCGACCUGAGAGGGUGA